RNAcentral lists this ribosomal RNA (1455 nucleotides) under uncultured Bordetella sp. Its description in RNAcentral is "partial 16S-23S ribosomal RNA intergenic spacer". It matches the Rfam family "Bacterial small subunit ribosomal RNA". The record is from RNAcentral. Lineage: Bacteria; Pseudomonadati; Pseudomonadota; Betaproteobacteria; Burkholderiales; Alcaligenaceae.
GGUUUGAUUAUGGCUCAGAUUGAACGCUGGCGGGAUGCUUUACACAUGCAAGUCGAACGGCAGCACGGACUUCGGUCUGGUGGCGAUGAACAGGUGAGUAAUGUAUCGGAACGUGCCUAGUAGCGGGGAUAACCGCGAAAGCGUAGCUAAUACGCGCCCUUCGAGGAAAGCGGGGGACCUUCGGGCCUCGCACUAUUAGAAGCGGCCGAUAUCGGAUUAGCUAGUUGGUGGGGUAACGGCUCACCAAGGCGACGAUCCGUAGCUGGUUUGAAGGACGACCAGCCACACUGGGACUGAGACACGGCCCAGACUCCUACGGAGGCAGCAGUGAGUGCGGACAAUGGGGAAACCCUGAUCCAGCCAUCCCGCGUGUGCGAUGAAGGCCUUCGGGUUGUAAAGCACUUUUUUGGCAGGGAAAGCAUGCAGGAUAAUACCCCCGUGCAACUGACGAACACCUGCGAUAAGCACCGGCUAACUACGUGCUGUAUGCAGUAAUACAUGGGGUAAAGCGUUAAUCGGAAUUACUGGGCGUAAAGCGUGCGCAGGCGGUUCGGAAAGAAGAUGUAGAUCUGAGCUUAACUUUGGAACUGCAUUUUUAACUACCGGCUAGAGUGUGUCAAUUGGAAUUCCCGCGAAAGUACUUGCCGGUGAAAUGCGUAGAUAUGCGGAGGAACACCGAUGGCGAAAACAGCCUCCUGGGAUAACACUGACGCUCAUGCACGAAAGCACGUGGGGAGCAAACAGGAUUAGACCUACGGUAGUCCACGCCCUAAACGAUGUCAACUAGCUGUUGGGGCCUUCGGAGCCUUGUUGGCCUGCGCUAACGCGUGAAGUUGACCGCCACCAGGAUACCGGUGCAAGAUUAAAACUCAAGGAAUUGACGGGGACCCGCACAAGCGGUGGAUGAUGUGGAUUAAUUCGAUGCAACGCGAAAAACACCUACCCUUGACAUGUCUGGAAUCCCGAAGAGAUUUGGGGAGUGCUCGCAAAGAGAACCGGAACACAGGUGCUGCAUAGCUGUCAGUGAUCAGCUCGUGUCGUGAGAUGUUGGGUUAAGUCCGCAACGGGCGCAACCCUUGUCGUGAAGUUGCUACGAAAGGGCACUCUAAUGGGAACUGCCGGUGACAAACCGGAGGAAGGUGGGGAUGACGUCAAGUCCUCGCCCAGCCCUUAUGGGUAGGAACUCACACGUCAUACAAUGGUCGGGACAGAGGUGUAACCCGCGAGGAGGUGUCCAGAAACCCGAUCGUAGUCCAGAUCGCAGUCUGCAACUCGACUGCGUGAAGUCGGAAUCCUUCAGUAAUCGCGGAUCAGCAUGUCGCGGUGAAUACGUUCCCGGGUCUUGUACACACCGCCCGUCUGUGGGAGUGGGUUUUACCAAGUAGUUAGCCCUAACCGUAAGGAGGCAAUUACCACGGUAGGAUUCAUGACUGGGGUGAAGUCGUAACAAGGUAA